RNAcentral lists this ribosomal RNA (371 nucleotides) under uncultured organism. RNAcentral describes it as "bacterial SSU rRNA". It matches the Rfam family "Bacterial small subunit ribosomal RNA", at positions 526 to 896 of the family's 1533-position model. The record is from RNAcentral.
CGUAGGCAGCGAGCGUUGUUCGGAGUUACUGGGCGUAAAGGGUGUGUAGGCGGUUGUUUAAGUUUGGUGUGAAAUCUCCCGGCUCAACUGGGAGGGUGCGCCGAAUACUGAAUGACUUGGAGUGCGGGAGAGGUGAGUGGAAUUCCUGGUGUAGCGGUGAAAUGCGUAGAUAUCAGGAGGAACACCGGUGGUGUAGACGGCCCACUGGACCGUAACUGACGCUGAGACACGAAAGCGUGGGUAGCAAACAGGAUUAGAUACCCUGGUAGUCCACGCCCUAAACGAUGCAUAUUUGGUGUGGGCAGUUCAUUCUGUCCGUGCCGGAGCUAACGCGUUAAAUAUGCCGCCUGGGGAGUACAGUCGCAAGGCUG